This 68-nucleotide transfer RNA is filed under the name Marmota monax (woodchuck). Its description in RNAcentral is "tRNA.Ala". Lineage: Eukaryota; Metazoa; Chordata; Mammalia; Rodentia; Sciuridae. The record is from RNAcentral.
GGCUUGUGGCUCAGUGAUAGAGUGCUUACCUAGCACGCAUAAGGCCCUGGGUUCGAUCCUCAGCACCA